This 373-nucleotide ribosomal RNA is filed under the name uncultured organism. RNAcentral's name for it is "partial 16S ribosomal RNA". It matches the Rfam family "Bacterial small subunit ribosomal RNA", at positions 527 to 896 of the family's 1533-position model. The record is from RNAcentral.
GUAGGUGGCAAGCGUUGUCCGGAAUUAUUGGGCGUAGAGCGCGCGCAGGCGGUUCUUUAAGUCUGAUGUGAAAGCCCACGGCUCAACCGUGGAGGGUCAUUGGAAACUGGAGAACUUGAGUACAGAAGAGGAAAGCGGAAUUCCACGUGUAGCGGUGAAAUGCGUAGAGAUGUGGAGGAACACCAGUGGCGAAGGCGGCUUUCUGGUCUGUAACUGACGCUGAGGCGCGAAAGCGUGGGGAGCAAACAGGAUUAGAUACCCUGGUAGUCCACGCCGUAAACGAUGAGUGCUAAGUGUUAGGGGGGUUUCCGCCCCCCUUAGUGCUGCAGCUAACGCAUUAAGCACUCCGCCUGGGAGUACGGCCGCAAGGCCG